GACGAACGCUGGCGGCGUGCUUAACACAUGCAAGUCGAACGGAAAGGCCCUGCUUUUGUGGGGUUCUCGAGUGGCGAACGGGUGAGUAACACGUGAGUAACCUGCCCUUGACUUUGGGAUAACUUCAGGAAACUGGGGCUAAUACCGGAUAUGAGCUCCUGCUGCAUGGUGUGGGUUGGAAAGUUUCGGCGGUUGGGGAUGGACUCGCGGCUUAUCAGCUUGUUUGUUGGGUAGUUGCUUACCAAGGCUUUGACGGGUAGCCGGCAUGAGAGGGUGACCGGCAACAUUGGGACUGAGAGACGGACCAGAAUACUACGGGGGGCAGCAGUGGGGAAUAGUGCAAAAUGGGAGGAAGCCUGAUGCAGAAACGCCGCGUGCGGGAUGAAGGCAUUCGGGUUGUAAACCGAUUUCGAAUGUGACGAAGAGUGAGUGACGGUAAUGGGUAAAGAAGCACCGGCUAACUACGUG
RNAcentral lists this ribosomal RNA (468 nucleotides) under uncultured bacterium. RNAcentral describes it as "partial 16S ribosomal RNA". It matches the Rfam family "Bacterial small subunit ribosomal RNA", at positions 28 to 507 of the family's 1533-position model. The record is from RNAcentral.